RNAcentral lists this unclassified non-coding RNA (247 nucleotides) under Hevea brasiliensis (rubber tree). The record is from RNAcentral. Lineage: Eukaryota; Viridiplantae; Streptophyta; Magnoliopsida; Malpighiales; Euphorbiaceae.
GAUACCUGUGUUGGCUAAAGUACUCUCUGAUGGCACCGAGGUUAGUAUUUCUUUCUCUUAGCUUUUGUUUUAAGCUUUACUCUUGAGUUUGGGUGGGUUUGACAUUUAUUUUCUUCAUCAACUCCUAGAUAUGUAGUUUUUAACAAGAAGUGCAUUCUUUUGAACUCCUUAAUGCACUUGAUUUGCAGAGUAUGAAUUCACAAUAGCAAAUUUUGGCCAUUUUAUCUAUCACUAUAAUGAGAGUGAG